This 203-nucleotide unclassified non-coding RNA is filed under the name soil metagenome. RNAcentral describes it as "partial contains 5.8S ribosomal RNA, internal transcribed spacer 2, and large subunit ribosomal RNA". The record is from RNAcentral.
AACCAUAGAAACCUGCGGAGUACCUGCGGAGGGAUCAUUACCGAGUGCGGGUCCUCGUGGCCCAACCUCCCACCCGUGACUAUUGUACCUUGUUGCUUCGGCGGGCCCGUGCCCGCCGGAGACCCCAACAUGAACCCUGUUCUGAAAGCUUGCAGUCUGAGUGUGAUUCUUUGCAAUCAGUUAAAACUUUCAGCAAUGGAUCU